This 427-nucleotide ribosomal RNA is filed under the name uncultured Caballeronia sp. RNAcentral describes it as "bacterial SSU rRNA". It matches the Rfam family "Bacterial small subunit ribosomal RNA", at positions 355 to 774 of the family's 1533-position model. The record is from RNAcentral. Lineage: Bacteria; Pseudomonadati; Pseudomonadota; Betaproteobacteria; Burkholderiales; Burkholderiaceae.
UGGGGAAUUUUGGACAAUGGGCGCAAGCCUGAUCCAGCAAUGCCGCGUGUGUGAAGAAGGCCUUCGGGUUGUAAAGCACUUUUGUCCGGAAAGAAAACUUCCUGGUUAAUACCUGGGGAGGAUGACGGUACCGGAAGAAUAAGCACCGGCUAACUACGUGCCAGCAGCCGCGGUAAUACGUAGGGUGCGAGCGUUAAUCGGAAUUACUGGGCGUAAAGCGUGCGCAGGCGGUCUGUUAAGACAGAUGUGAAAUCCCCGGGCUUAACCUGGGAACUGCAUUUGUGACUGGCAGGCUAGAGUAUGGCAGAGGGGGGUAGAAUUCCACGUGUAGCAGUGAAAUGCGUAGAGAUGUGGAGGAAUACCGAUGGCGAAGGCAGCCCCCUGGGCCAAUACUGACGCUCAUGCACGAAAGCGUGGGGAGCAAACA